CUAAAACACUACUUGGUAGAAAAAUAGUAACCUUGAUGCAUUUAGAAAACCUGCCUUGAGAAUUAGUUCAGCACUCUGUUACCAUACCUACUGUGCCUGUCGAGCAGGAAGUUGAUAAAUGUACUGAAAAAAAAGCAUUUAGCUGAAUCCAGUAUUAUUGAGGGGAAAAAGAUGAUUCAGUUACAGCUCUAUGUAUGGGAAUUGUGAAUAGCUACAUAUAUCAAAGAGAUUUAAAAGUUUUUAAGUUCAU
This 250-nucleotide long non-coding RNA is filed under the name Bos taurus (domestic cattle). RNAcentral's name for it is "long non-coding RNA NONBTAT009384". The record is from RNAcentral. Lineage: Eukaryota; Metazoa; Chordata; Mammalia; Artiodactyla; Bovidae.